Molecule: non-coding RNA, 543 nt
Organism: Bactrocera oleae (olive fruit fly)
Lineage: Eukaryota; Metazoa; Arthropoda; Insecta; Diptera; Tephritidae
Source: RefSeq, a predicted model, not a curated record
CACAAAAGCAAGCGCAUCACACAUUCCCACAAACAUUCAUUCGCGAAUCACUGAAUAAAAACUGCAAAAAAUAUUUGGCUUUGUCUUGUCUUCCCAUUGAUUAUACAUUUCACUUGUUGCUGAUGUGAGGGAGUAACGACAAAUGUCAUCGCAACAAUUAAUUAGUGAAAUGAAAAAAGCACAUUGUCUUGUCAGCGCAGACAUCAGUGGCUUCAAAGCAAACCGCGUAGUUAUAGUUUGGAUAUGAAGUACCAAUAGCCGCCAUACCAACAUCAGUGGUGGCAAUUCAAUCAAGUGAUUUGAUUGAUAUGUUUGUAUAAUAUAAAUAAUUUUAAAGCUUGCGCAAUGAUUUGUGGAACAAGGCAAUACCACGUUUAUUAGAGAUGGGUGUUAAUAAAGAAGAGCAACAUUGGAGUCACUCGAAGUUGAAAGAAAGUCAAAUCCGCUUAAUUGACGUCACAAUCGCACAUAAAAUUCCUGCAGUGUAAAAUUUUUUUUUAUGUACCUCUUUCUUGAAUAAUAAUUUAUAUAAUAUAGCAUCAA